This 440-nucleotide ribosomal RNA is filed under the name uncultured bacterium. RNAcentral describes it as "bacterial SSU rRNA". It matches the Rfam family "Bacterial small subunit ribosomal RNA", at positions 958 to 1397 of the family's 1533-position model. The record is from RNAcentral.
AACGCGAAGAACCUUACCUGGUCUUGACAUCCCAGGAACCCUGUAGAGAUACGGGGGUGCCUUCGGGAACCUGGAGACAGGUGCUGCAUGGCUGUCGUCAGCUCGUGUCGUGAGAUGUUGGGUUAAGUCCCGCAACGAGCGCAACCCUUAUCCCUAGUUGCCAUCGGGUCAAGCCGGGCACUCUAGUGAAACCGCCCCGGAUAACGGGGAGGAAGGUGGGGAUGACGUCAAGUCCUCAUGGCCUUUAUGUCCAGGGCUACACACGUGCUACAAUGGUCGGUACAAACCGUCGCAAACCCGCGAGGGGGAGCUAAUCGGAAAAAGCCGACCUCAGUUCGGAUUGGAGUCUGCAACUCGACUCCAUGAAGCUGGAAUCGCUAGUAAUCGCGGAUCAGAACGCCGCGGUGAAUACGUUCCCGGGCCUUGUACACACCGCAUAC